Molecule: long non-coding RNA, 929 nt
Organism: Oxyura jamaicensis (ruddy duck)
Lineage: Eukaryota; Metazoa; Chordata; Aves; Anseriformes; Anatidae
Exons: 4
Source: RefSeq, a predicted model, not a curated record
UCACUGGGCAAUGUCUCAAGGCUUUGGUGCAAGUUUGGUGCCGCUGUGUCCUGCCUGUGCCAGCUCAAAGAGGGCUCCAGUGCCAGGCUCCGGCCCCUGAGCCCUUACUGUGUGCAUGGGGCCAGCCUCGUCCCUGCGGCUUCCUCGGGGAGCUUCCUCCUCCUCCUCCACUGCGUGGUGCCCGGGGGGGGCCUUCAAUGGCAGGAGGAAGCAAAAAAUAACCUCGGCUUCAGAUUGGGAAGCUGCCGUCUCCCAUAACGACGCUGAAUCGCGGCUCUGGGGACUGGUCUGCGGGCUUUGCUGACGGGGGGACAUCUCUGAGGCAAAACGCAGCAGGUCCGUAGCACCGUGCGCUCAGCCUGCAAGAGGUGAGCAAACUCUUUGCCCCUGCGUGAUUCUGCAGUACUGCAGCUAGCCGUUACCCCUUCCCAGCAGGGCGUCCCGGGCUCCUCGCUCGCCCUGGUGUCUCCCAGGAGGCACAGCACCAUCGCUCAGCACCACCAGGGAUGUGCCGGGAGGGCUCAAGGAAUCCUAAGAGCACGCUCUGAGCAGCUGGGCAGGCAGCGGCCCUCCGUGAUGCCGGCCGUGCGUAUCCCCGGGUGCCAGAGCGGGGGGACCCGGGCAGCUCUGACGCUGCACCAGCAUUAGGAGCAGCGGGUUCCAGCCGAGCGUGCCUUUUAACGAACAGCCUCUCCAUGCAAAGGGCUGCGCUGCUGCAACCUCGUUAUUAAACAGCGCACGGUGCCGCGCGAUAGCGGCGAUGAAGAAAAGCCCCGGUAUGGUACGUGGGCCUCGCCGCUUCCCGAGUCGCCGAUCUCCUUGGUUACAGCAACUCCCCACAACACCCAACGCAAAGGCAGUGCCUGAGCUCGGGCUGCCGGCAGCAGCUCCUCAGCUGGAGAGCUCAGAUCCCGGCUUCGGGGGAAGCU